RNAcentral lists this ribosomal RNA (498 nucleotides) under uncultured Hydrogenedentota bacterium. RNAcentral describes it as "bacterial SSU rRNA". It matches the Rfam family "Bacterial small subunit ribosomal RNA", at positions 616 to 1110 of the family's 1533-position model. The record is from RNAcentral. Lineage: Bacteria; Pseudomonadati; Candidatus Hydrogenedentota.
CGGAAGUGCUCUGGAUACUGCCAGACUCGAGUGCGUGAGAGGAGAGCGGAAUUUCUGGUGUAGCGGUGAAAUGCGUAGAUAUCAGAAGGAACACCGGUGGCGAAAGCGGCUCUCUGGCGCGCAACUGACGCUGAGGCCCGAAAGCGUGGGGAGCAAACGGGAUUAGAUACCCCGGUAGUCCACGCUGUAAACGUUGUGCACUAGGUGUGGGAGGUGUCGACCCCUUCCGUGCCGCAGCUAACGCAUUAAGUGCACCGCCUGGGGAGUACGGUCGCAAGACUGAAACUCAAAGGAAUUGACGGGGGCCCGCACAAGCGGUGGAGCAUGUGGUUCAAUUCGAGGCAACGCGAAGAACCUUACCCAGGCUUGACAUCCCGGGAAUCCCGCCGAAAGGCGGGAGUGCCCUUCGGGGAGCCCGGAGACAGGUGUUGCAUGGCUGUCGUCAGCUCGUGUCGUGAGAUGUUGGGUUAAGUCCCGCAACGAGCGCAACCCUUGUCC